UACGUAGGGUGCGAGCGUUAAUCGGAAUUACUGGGCGUAAAGCGUGCGCAGGCGGUUUUGUAAGCCAGAUGUGAAAUCCCCGGGCUUAACCUGGGAAUGGCAUUUGGGACUGCAAGGCUUGAGUUUGGCAGAGGAGACUGGAAUUCCUGGUGUAGCAGUGAAAUGCGUAGAUAUCAGGAGGAACACCGGUGGCGAAGGCGGGUCUCUGGGCCGAUACUGACGCUGAGGAGCGAAAGCAUGGGGAGCGAACAGG
This 253-nucleotide ribosomal RNA is filed under the name uncultured bacterium. RNAcentral describes it as "partial 16S ribosomal RNA". It matches the Rfam family "Bacterial small subunit ribosomal RNA", at positions 524 to 776 of the family's 1533-position model. The record is from RNAcentral.